This is a long non-coding RNA of Sorex araneus (European shrew), 388 nucleotides long. RefSeq lists it as uncharacterized. NCBI's taxonomy places the organism in Eukaryota, Metazoa, Chordata, Mammalia, Eulipotyphla, Soricidae. The record is from RefSeq and is a predicted model, not a curated record. The transcript has 4 exons.
CAGGAGCGUGCAUGCCACUAAGGGCCUCGUGGAAACCCAUCCUUCCACCUCCUUCCCGAGUUGAGCACCUAGGGGCUGAGAGAGAAAUGGAGGAAAGAUGAUUCAAGACAAACCUACUCACCCACUGGGAACCUAGAGUUGAGAGGAGGUGAUUGGAAUAUAAAGAAAGAUUGUAAAGUAGUAACACAUGACCAACGGUCACAAAACUGACAAUCAGACUACAAAAUCAACCUUAAUGUGGAGGUGUACUGGAGGUCAGACAGAGUGGAUGCUGGGACAUUGGUGGAUAGACUCUGAAUCUCUGAUGAGCAAGCAAAAAAGAGGAUGAAGGAGAGGAGGAAGAGAAGAAUGAGGAGGAAGAGUAGGAGGAGAAUGAGGAUGAGGUGAA